RNAcentral lists this ribosomal RNA (492 nucleotides) under uncultured bacterium. Its description in RNAcentral is "partial 16S ribosomal RNA". It matches the Rfam family "Bacterial small subunit ribosomal RNA", at positions 29 to 507 of the family's 1533-position model. The record is from RNAcentral.
AGUGAACGCUGGCGGUAGGCCUAACACAUGCAAGUCGAACGGCAGCACAGUAAGAGCUUGCUCUUACGGGUGGCGAGUGGCGGACGGGUGAGGAAUACAUCGGAAUCUACUUUUUCGUGGGGGAUAACGUAGGGAAACUUACGCUAAUACCGCAUACGACCUACGGGUGAAAGCAGGGGAUCUUCGGACCUUGCGCGAUUGAAUGAGCCGAUGUCGGAUUAGCUAGUUGGCGGGGUAAAGGCCCACCAAGGCGACGAUCCGUAGCUGGUCUGAGAGGAUGAUCAGCCACACUGGAACUGAGGCACGGUCCAGACUCCUACGGGAGGCAGCAGUGGGGAAUAUUGGACAAUGGGCGCAAGCCUGAUCCAGCCAUACCGCGUGGGUGAAGAAGGCCUUCGGGUUGUAAAGCCCUUUUGUUGGGAAAGAAAAGCAGCAGGUUAAUACCCCGCUGUUCUGACGGUACCCAAAGAAUAAGCACCGGCUAACCUCGUG